This 274-nucleotide ribosomal RNA is filed under the name uncultured bacterium. RNAcentral's name for it is "partial 16S ribosomal RNA". It matches the Rfam family "Bacterial small subunit ribosomal RNA", at positions 337 to 607 of the family's 1533-position model. The record is from RNAcentral.
UCCUACGGGGCGCAGCAGUGAGGAAUAUUGGUCAAUGGGCGGGAGCCUGAACCAGCCAAGUCGCGUGAGGGAAGACGGUCCUAUGGAUUGUAAACCUCUUUAGGCGGGGAGCAAUGCCGGGCACGCGUGUCCGGAGGGAGAGUACCCGUAGAAUAAGCAUCGGCCAACUCCGUGCCAGCAGCCGCGGUAAUACGGAGGAUGCGAGCGUUAUCCGGAUUUAUUGGGCGUAAAGCGAGUGCAGGCGGUUCAAUAAGUCUGAUGUGAAAACCUUCGG